AGUGAAGUGAAAAGUAAAAAGAAAAGAGUCCAUAGGCACAAGACAUCAAUUCUAGUUCCUUUGGACCCUGUCCAGUUCUCCUAGAGCUAGGUUUCAGAUUUAUCCAAAGGAGAUCUGCAGCCUUGUUGGUCAAGGAAUUACUAAUAAAGAUUAAAGAAGGCCAUUUGAUGUAACAGCAUAUUAGUAUUUAUUAUGUAUAUGUGCCAACGUUUUUAUUUUGUAUAUCCAAAUAGAGAGAGAGAGUUAGUGAUGCAGGAGAGGAUAUGAUUCAGCACACCCACUGCGGUUCUUACCCAACUUGUACAGAUUUUUGUUCUAUUUAAUGCCAAUAUUUUUAACAAAUUACUAGCA
Long non-coding RNA from Nicotiana attenuata, 351 nucleotides. RefSeq lists it as uncharacterized. Lineage: Eukaryota; Viridiplantae; Streptophyta; Magnoliopsida; Solanales; Solanaceae. The transcript has 2 exons. The record is from RefSeq and is a predicted model, not a curated record.